RNAcentral lists this ribosomal RNA (348 nucleotides) under uncultured bacterium. RNAcentral describes it as "partial 16S ribosomal RNA". It matches the Rfam family "Bacterial small subunit ribosomal RNA", at positions 338 to 683 of the family's 1533-position model. The record is from RNAcentral.
CCUACGUGUGGCAGCAGUGAGGAAUAUUGGUCAAUGGGCGGAAGCCUGAACCAGCCAAGUAGCGUGCAGGAUGACGGCCCUACGGGUUGUCAACUGCUUUUAUACGGGAAUAACGCGCCUUACGUGUAGGGCUUUGCAUGUACCGUAUGAAUAAGGACCGGCUAAUUCCGUGCCAGCAGCCGCUGUAAUCCGGAAGGUCCGGUCGUUAUCCGGAUUUAUUGGGUUUAAAGGGAGCGUAGGCCGCAUGUCAAACGUGCUGUGAAAUGUCCGGGCUCACCCCGGUCGUUGCAGCGCGAACUGGCGUACUUGAGUCCGCGGAAAGAAGGCGGAAUUCGGCGUGGAGCGGGG